RNAcentral lists this signal recognition particle RNA (249 nucleotides) under Gorilla gorilla gorilla (western lowland gorilla). RNAcentral's name for it is "Metazoan signal recognition particle RNA". It matches the Rfam family "Metazoan signal recognition particle RNA". Rfam says of the family: The signal recognition particle (SRP) is a universally conserved ribonucleoprotein. Lineage: Eukaryota; Metazoa; Chordata; Mammalia; Primates; Hominidae. The record is from Rfam by way of RNAcentral.
GCCGGGCGCGGUGGCUCACGCCUGUAAUCCCAGCACUUUGGGAGGCUGAGACGGGCAGAUCACGAAGUCAGGAGACUGAGACCAUCCUGGCUAAGACGGCGAAACCCCGCCUCUACUAAAAAUACAAAAAAUUAGCCGGGCNNNNNNNNNNGCCCGGCUAAUUUUUUGUAUUUUUUUAGUAGAGACGGGGUUUCACCGUGUUAGCCAGGAUGGUCUCGAUCUCCUGACCUCGUGAUCUGCCCGCCUCGG